GACUGACCGAUAGUGAACCAGUACCGUGAGGGAAAGGCGAAAAGAACCCCGGCGAGGGGAGUGAAAAAGAACCUGAAACCGUGUACGUACAAGCAGUGGGAGCACCCUUUGGGGUGUGACUGCGUACCUUUUGUAUAAUGGGUCAGCGACUUAUAUUCUGUAGCAAGGUUAACCGAAUAGGGGAGCCGGAGGGAAACCGAGUCUUAACCGGGCGUUAA
This 218-nucleotide ribosomal RNA is filed under the name Salmonella enterica subsp. enterica serovar Javiana. RNAcentral's name for it is "partial 23S ribosomal RNA". It matches the Rfam family "Bacterial large subunit ribosomal RNA", at positions 478 to 698 of the family's 2925-position model. The record is from RNAcentral. Lineage: Bacteria; Pseudomonadati; Pseudomonadota; Gammaproteobacteria; Enterobacterales; Enterobacteriaceae.